UGGGGAAUUUUGGACAAUGGGCGAAAGCCUGACCCAGCAACGCCGCGUGAAGGAUGAAGUAUUUCGGUAUGUAAACUUCGAAAGAAUAGGAAGAAUAAAUGACGGUACUAUUUAUAAGGUCCGGCUAACUACGUGCCAGCAGCCGCGGUAAUACGUAGGGACCAAGCGUUGUUCGGAUUUACUGGGCGUAAAGGGCGCGUAGGCGGCAAUUCAAGUCAUCUGUGAAAUCUCCGGGCUUAACUCGGAACGGUCAGAUGAUACUGCUUUGCUAGAGUGCAGAAGGGGCAAUCGGAAUUCUUGGUGUAGCGGUGAAAUGCGUAGAUAUAGGAAGGAACACCAGUGGCGAAGGCGACCACCUGGACUGAUACUGACACUGAGGUGCGAAAGCGUGGGGAGCAAACAGGAUUAGAUACCCACGUAGUCCCUGAGCGGGCUGGCAAGGCGCAU
RNAcentral lists this ribosomal RNA (447 nucleotides) under uncultured bacterium. Its description in RNAcentral is "bacterial SSU rRNA". It matches the Rfam family "Bacterial small subunit ribosomal RNA", at positions 355 to 825 of the family's 1533-position model. The record is from RNAcentral.